Cyprinus carpio (common carp) is the source of this 379-nucleotide long non-coding RNA. NCBI's taxonomy places the organism in Eukaryota, Metazoa, Chordata, Actinopteri, Cypriniformes, Cyprinidae. The record is from Ensembl.
UUCCAAAGACUUCAGAGCGCUUUGAAUGGGAACGAGGCUGGAAAGCCGGAGGGAUGUGGAUGGUCGGGGUAUGAGGGAGACGGCGAUGUCCGCUACAAAGAGCAUCGAAUCCGGAAAAGGAGACCUUGGGAAUCAGUGAUAAAACACAGAAAUGAACUGACCUCAGAUCAGGUGAGUGAUUUGGUAUUGUCAUGCACUCUCAAUAUGACCUUGACUUUCAUUUUGCAUGAGGUUGCAUGUUUAAGAGACAAAUAUGUAACAGGUUCUCUCACCGUUGCUGCAUAUAUGACUUGUAGGAGUAGGUUUGUUUAUAUCCUUUACGGGGAAGUAGCAUAUAUAAGCAUAUGAAUCCCUCAUGAAUAAUAACCAUAUAUUAUUU